GGAAUCUGGGAGGACCAUCUCCUAAGGCUAAAUACUCUCUAGUGACCGAUAGUGAACCAGUACCGUGAGGGAAAGGUGAAAAGCACCCCGGAAGGGGAGUGAAAUAGAACCUGAAACCGUGUGCUUACAAGUAGUCAGAGCCCGUUAAUGGGUGAUGGCGUGCCUUUUGUAGAAUGAACCGGCGAGUUACGAUUUGAUGCAAGGUUAAGCAGUAAAUGUGGAGCCGUAGCGAAAGCGAGUCUGAAUAGGGCGUUUAGUAUUUGGUCGUAGACCCGAAACCAGGUGAUCUACCCUUGGUCAGGUUGAAGUUCAGGUAACACUGAAUGGAGGACCGAACCGACUUACGUUGAAAAGUGAGCGGAUGAACUGAGGGUAGCGGAGAAAUUCCAAUCGAACCUGGAGAUAGCUGGUUCUCUCCGAAAUAGCUUUAGGGCUAGCCUCAAGUGAUGAUUAUUGGAGGUAGAGCACUGUUUGGACGAGGGGCCCCUCUCGGGUUACCGAAUUCAGACAAACUCCGAAUGCCAAUUAAUUUAACUUGGGAGUCAGAACAUGGGUGAUAAGGUCCGUGUUCGAAAGGGAAACAGCCCAGACCACCAGCUAAGGUCCCAAAAUAUAUGUUAAGUGGAAAAGGAUGUGGCGUUGCCCAGACAACUAGGAUGUUGGCUUAGAAGCAGCCAUCAUUUAAAGAGUGCGUAAUAGCUCACUAGUCGAGUGACACUGCGCCGAAAAUGUACCGGGGCUAAACAUAUUACCGAAGCUGUGGAUUGUCCUUUGGACAAUGGUAGGAGAGCGUUCUAAGGGCGUUGAAGCAUGAUCGUAAGGACAUGUGGAGCGCUUAGAAGUGAGAAUGCCGGUGUGAGUAGCGAAAGACGGGUGAGAAUCCCGUCCACCGAUUGACUAAGGUUUCCAGAGGAAGGCUCGUCCGCUCUGGGUUAGUCGGGUCCUAAGCUGAGGCCGACAGGCGUAGGCGAUGGAUAACAGGUUGAUAUUCCUGUACCACCUAUAAUCGUUUUAAUCGAUGGGGGGACGCAGUAGGAUAGGCGAAGCGUGCGAUUGGAUUGCACGUCUAAGCAGUAAGGCUGAGUAUUAGGCAAAUCCGGUACUCGUUAAGGCUGAGC
Molecule: ribosomal RNA, 1118 nt
Filed under: Staphylococcus aureus
Lineage: Bacteria; Bacillati; Bacillota; Bacilli; Caryophanales; Staphylococcaceae
Description: partial 23S ribosomal RNA
Rfam family: Bacterial large subunit ribosomal RNA
Source: RNAcentral